RNAcentral lists this transfer RNA (76 nucleotides) under Myxococcaceae bacterium. RNAcentral describes it as "tRNA-Arg". It matches the Rfam family "tRNA". Rfam says of the family: Transfer RNA (tRNA) molecules are approximately 80 nucleotides in length. Lineage: Bacteria; Pseudomonadati; Myxococcota; Myxococcia; Myxococcales; Myxococcaceae. The record is from RNAcentral.
GUGCCCAUAGCUCAGCCGGAAGAGCAGGAGAUUUCUAAUCUCCCGGUCGGUGGUUCGAACCCACCUGGGCGCGCCC